GCUUAUUUAGUUUAUAAAGAAAAAUAUUAUGUUGAAACCAUAGAGAAGAAUAUUAGUUCUUUAGGCA
RNAcentral lists this transfer RNA (67 nucleotides) under Mutilla europaea. RNAcentral's name for it is "tRNA-Phe". Lineage: Eukaryota; Metazoa; Arthropoda; Insecta; Hymenoptera; Mutillidae. The record is from RNAcentral.